CAAAGACGCAAUGAACUGUAGAACCAAAACUUUAAUGUAUGCUUAUGCCUUUCUAGGCUUGUUUUGGCUGGUGGGAUGGAGAGUAUGUGACCACCUCCAGAAGCUACUGCAAAGAGCAAGUUAUGCAGAGGAGGUGAGCUCAUGUGGUGCCUGAGGGAAACACAGCUGGGGCGUGGAAGCAAGUCAGAGAAACUGCGUUCUAGGAAAGGAGUUCAGACGUGUUUCUGGCUCUUUAGUUAUUUGCUUAAUGGUUACUGAAUGCUGCCCUGGGGUACAGGUGACGGUCCGUGGCACCGAACAGACAGUUCUCUCACUCAGCGCUCCAACGCAGCACUUUGGAAAGCACCCUGUUACGGCAUGUUGGAUAAAGAGAGUCCCCCACAUACGAGAUUUGCCGCAGUUUUCC
RNAcentral lists this long non-coding RNA (406 nucleotides) under Gallus gallus (chicken). RNAcentral describes it as "long non-coding RNA NONGGAT002229". The record is from RNAcentral. Lineage: Eukaryota; Metazoa; Chordata; Aves; Galliformes; Phasianidae.